GGAUGAAGAACGUAGCGAAAUGCGAUAAGUAGUGUGAAUUGCAGAAUUCAGUGAAUCAUCGAAUCUUUGAACGCACCUUGCGCUUCCUGGUAUUCCGGGGAGCAUGCCCGUUUCAGAAUCAAUAAAAAUCUCACCAAACUCUUUGCUUUCGGGCACUGAGUGCAGGUGGAUCUGGAUUUUUGCAUCAGCAAUCAUCUUAAAGCCAUUGUGUGUGCACCAAUUGAUGCGUCUUUUGGUUGUCCAAGUGCAACAGAUUUAUCUAUUUCGCUACGGCAAUUGACUGAUGUUCUUGAUGCGCAUGCUCCACCAAUUACAAGGAAUGCAAAUCGGUAUGAUUUGUGUUUCUGAUAACUUGAUCUGAAAUCGGGCAAGAAAACCCGCUGAACUUAAGCAUAUCAAUAAGCGGAGGA
Molecule: unclassified non-coding RNA, 410 nt
Filed under: soil metagenome
Description: partial contains 5.8S ribosomal RNA, internal transcribed spacer 2, and large subunit ribosomal RNA
Rfam family: 5.8S ribosomal RNA (bases 2-121)
Source: RNAcentral